AGAGUUUGAUCCUGGCUCAGAAUCAACGCUGGCGGCGUGCCUAACACAUGCAAGUCGAGCGAGAAAAGGGGGGCAACUCCCUGAGUACAGCGGCGCACGGGUGAGUAACACGUGGGUAAUCUGCCCUGGAGUGGGGAAUAACACCGGGAAACCGGUGCUAAUACCGCAUACGAUAACGAGGUCUGCGGACUUUGUUAUGAAAGGAGCAAUUCGCUCUAGGAGGAGCCCGCGGCUGAUUAGCUAGUUGGUGAGGUAAUGGCCCACCAAGGCUACGAUCAGUAUCCGGUCUGAGAGGACGGUCGGACACACUGGAACUGAGACACGGUCCAGACUCCUACGGGAGGCAGCAGUGGGGAAUUUUUGGCAAUGGGGGCAACCCUGACCAAGCAACGCCGCGUGGGUGAUGAAGUCUCUUGGGACGUAAAACCCUUUCGACGGGGAAGAAACCGCAAGGUUGACGGUACCCGUAGAAGAAGCCCCGGCUAACUCCGUGCCAGCAGCCGCGGUAAUACGGGGGGGGCAAGCGUUGUUCGGAAUUACUGGGCGUAAAGGGCGCGUAGGCGGUGCUCUAAGUCGGAUGUGAAAACUCUGGGCUCAACCCAGAGCCUGCAUCCGAAACUGGAGUGCUAGAGUUCUGGAGGGGGUAGCGGAAUUCCUGGUGUAGCGGUGAAAUGCGUAGAUAUCAGGAGGAACACCGGUGGUGUAGACGGCUCUCUGGACAGUAACUGACGCUGAGACACGAAAGCGUGGGUAGCAAACAGGAUUAGAUACCCUAGUAGUCC
RNAcentral lists this ribosomal RNA (782 nucleotides) under uncultured bacterium. RNAcentral's name for it is "bacterial SSU rRNA". It matches the Rfam family "Bacterial small subunit ribosomal RNA", at positions 8 to 796 of the family's 1533-position model. The record is from RNAcentral.